ACCCACAGGAGCUGUUGCAAAGUGCACUUUUUGUGCUUAAGGUUUUAAAGCCUAAAAUCUCUGACCUGAAGAGGUUUGGAGAGUAGCUUAGUUUGAAGCCUGCUGUCGUGUAGACACCUGCAAAACAUUGAACUUAACACUGGCACAGCUGGAGGGAGGGAUGGUGUGUAAUGAUGGGUGGCUAUAUUGCUGUGUGGCUGGGUUUCAGUGCCCUGGUUCUCAUAUAGGAAUUAGAGUUAGCUCCUGGCUGACUGGGAGGAGUCAGGCACCUGAUAUUCCCGAAGGACUUCCCCAGGCAUUAUUUCAUGGCAUUUCUCCUUCUGGAUUUCUCCCUGAAAACACUCCACCCGGAAUCAAAAAAGGCUCUGGUCUAGGAAGAGAAAGACAUGACUUUGCUCAUUUAUGCUACCUGGCAGUGUAAAAAAGAGAGAUUUACCCAGUCUUUUGUUCUUGGCAGCUGGUAAUACCACCCCCUACUCACUGCAUGAAAGGGCAUGGCAACAGUUUGUGAAGACUAAUGAACAAGAUCUGUUUUGGGAGUGAUCAUAACCUGAUUUAAUAUAGAGUUAUCAGGCUGCAAGUGUUUACAUUGUAGACAGGAAAGGAGCCCUUUGUCUUUCUGUAUUUGUGUGCGAGUAUGUGAACAGCAUGGAACGAUAUAACUGGCACAUUAAAGAGAAGGCUUUAUCUGCAAAAGAUUCUUUUCUCACUAGGGAUCACUCUGCUUCACUUCAUGGUAGCCUUACAAGAGGAGUUCACAUGUGCGAUGAUGUUAGACAAGGCAGAAGAAGAGCAUUGAUGGAGAAUUUCUAGGCAUUAAAGUGUUGCCUUGCUAGGCAAAUGAAUGAGAAUGAUGAAUUCAGUACUGCACAAGAAGAGGACAGGUCCUGCAUUGAGUAGCUUCCAUGAACAAGGAGACACUGAGCUUCAUCUCAGUAUAUCACUGCCCAGGCUAUGGCCUGGCCAUGGGAGAUGACAAGCAGCUGCUACAAGUGAAGGUGCUGCUAAUUCAACCAUUUUCUUCCAGAAAUGGGAAAAUUGAUCUAUAUUAGGAAAUAUGUUCUUCCUUUCUUCAUGCUUGUGAAAAUGAAGGAUAGUUGUGCCUGCACUACAAGAAGGGUGAUUUAGGUGAACGUGGAAAAACGUCAGUCAGCGUUGCCUUGAGAAGCUUCAUUGCAUUCGGCUAAAGCAGACAUCUUUUGCUGGAAGGAUGUCUCCCCAAGAAAGGUUCAGGCAAAACAGUUCAUCAGACAACAAGAACUUGAUCUUCCCAUUCACCGCAAGCUGGUCCUUGGGCUGGAGAAGUAGCUGCAGGAUACUGCCUGCUGAAGGAGCACAGGAUUUAGGAUCUGUCAGCACCAUGGUACCAAGAAUUUGGGACGCACCAAAGCUUUUCUGUUGCAUCUACUGACCUCCUUUGGGCAAGCACGCAAGGGUCUUCCGCAGAGCCGCCCUCAAGACUACGUGUUGGAGAAUACUGUUGUGGAUUUUCAGUGGAGUGUCCUGGAGAAAAGGAUGAAAAUUCUUAUGAUUUCUCAGACUGGGAGUCGGUUUGAAUUAACCCUAUCUGGGAAGACUGCAACUGGGAUUUUGCACUGGAAAUCUCUUUGUGGAUGCUGUAUUUCAGGAAUACACGGGAGGUAGCAUCUGGUCAUGUUGAAGAAUGCAAAUGAGGACAUCUCCACUGAUGAAUGGCUUGUCAAAUGUGUACCCUAGAAAACAGAAAAAAGUGACCACCUUAUUUUGGAAGCAACAAAAAAUUCAGGGGACAGUCCCAGAGUGUUAUAUGAAUGAGAUCUGUUGCUUGCUGCUUGGCAGACAUUGCUUUUCUCUGAGGACUUAGAAUUCUGUGUACAAGUUUGGGCUCAGAAAGAAAUUCUGUUGAUAACAUUGGUUUGAUAAAGUUGCCUUGAAGCUUUUUAAGCAACUUCAUAGAUCAAUAUGACUUCUCAGAGUCAUCUUGUUCAUCUACUUGUUUGCAAUUGUAUGGCGAAGUACAGGGAUGCUUUACUUUCUAUCACUUGGUCUUGCUUGAGUUGAAGGAACACAGAACAACUUUUUACAGCAUCUCAGUUUUCAUUUUUUUAAAUUAACAUUGAGAGGAAAUGAUGGAGAAUUCAUGGCCUCAGUCAUUCAAGCAGAGACAUUUGGACCAACACCCAGUCGCUCUCCAAGCACAGUUUCCCACUGCUCUAGCAAUCGGCUUAUCUAAGAAGUGAUGCUCACUGCUAAUUUACUGACUACCUUUGGCAGCAGAUGAGCAACUUCCCAUACGCUAUUUGAGGAACAUGCCUUCCUGCAAUCUGGAAAGACCAUAUGUAGGAGAAAGCUGAGUUUCUGUACUCUUGUAGUCUUUGAACUGAGUCCAAGCAGUGCCAAUCUUCCCAAGACUUUUUGUGCUGAGAAGACUUCCCUUCACAGCCAUUAGAAGACAACUGAAAGUAAACUGCUUGGUCACAGCAACGCACUCUCUGAGACGAGAUCUAGAGCUGCUUAGGAGAAUCGAAUCGCUGCCAAAGCCUCGCAGCAUUUGUUUUUUUUUAAAACAAAUUUUCCAACAAUUUGACGUUUCCAUUUCCAGACCUAUUUCCUAGCAGACUGGAUUAACCCUGCAGGCACAGUAGCUCUGUGGAAGCCAGUCACAGGAGCUUCGCAAGUAUUUUGGUUCCUGAGGUCAGGCAGAACCUAGGGAGUGUGGUCCUGGGGUUUGCUAGAGCUCCCUUGAGCCUGAUGAGUAAUUAAUUUUCUUGGAUUUUUGGUUCUGGCAGUGUGGGGAUUUGAGAUCUAUUGGCCCCAUGCUGAAGCAGGCAAAGUCAUCCCAGAAAUCUGGAUUCCCAGUCUUCCCAUAUUCUGUGCAGGAUGGCGAAGUGUGCGUGCAAAUGUAUGAACUGGGGCUUUUCUUUACAUGGAUGAUGUCAAAGUUUGCAACUGGAAGAAACUACAUAUUGAAAAAAAAAAUUUGCUUGUGAAAUCAUGUUGUUUAUAGCUCUAUUCAGGGUAUCAGAAAAUGAAGCCUUUCUGGUUUCAGGAUGGAUGGAAAACAGGUACUUGCAAACCUGUCUGCACCCUCCUAACAGCACCAUCAUACUCUGACCAUUCAGACAGAAGCUCCAUGUGAAUACUCUUCUCUAUUUUGCUCCCUCUCUUAGCUCAUCUUUAAGGCUUUGGAUUCAGAGAUAGAACGUAGACCUAAAAAAAAUAGGCUAAGUUUUGAGAGAGCUCUAAAAUGAACUUUUUUUUCCUUUUUUUUUUUUCUUUUUUCCUUUGUUUUUUCUUUUUUCCUUUGUUUUUUUUUUUCUUUUUUCUUGAGUGUGCUGAAGAUUAUGAUCUUUCUAGCUAACUUCAGCAGGGAGUUUCGUAGAUAUUAGCCUAUUGCUAAUUAAACCCAUAUUUACCACAAGCCUCUGUCUAACAACAGCCAGAUCACCAAGAAUUAGCGCCAGCUUCUUCAGGUAACAUCCCUGCUGUGAUCAUGCAGGGCAAUGUGGUCCUUCCAAGGGAACAGCAAUGCCUGGAAGACUCAUCCUACCCUGUUCUCAAAUAUGAAGACCAAAAAAUAAAACUAAGAAAUGCACUUAGUUCUUCCUAAAUCGGUCACCCUGACUUGUGCCAGGGGGUGUUUGCUGUAGGAAGGUGUUGGCUCCAGCAGCUGUGAAGAAAGCAGCAUUGCACAAGCCAUUGUUUUUAAGUUAAUCUCAGGUAAGAAGUGGGCAGAUAUUCUUGCCCAGCCUCUGCUGGAGGGUGGGUGCAAUAUCCUGGUCCUCUGUCGGUGGGAGAAGGGCCCAUCAAUAAAGAGGCCAGAGAGCAGCUUCCAGUAAUUUUGAGAUCAGGCAUGUGUAAAAGGAGAGAUAAAUGUGAGAGCUGGUGAUACACAGUGAAAGCAAGCCUUUUAAAGUUAUUUCUGGCUCUUCCUUUCACCCUGCUUCCUUGUAAUUUCUCCAGCCAUGUCCAGGCUUAGAUUUAUCCAAUCUCUCUUCUACAUCCAAAUACUUGCAUUUCCCAAGGACUGGCACAGCUACGAGCUGAUGCUGUUUGUAUUUGAUAUAAUAGAGAUAUAGAGCUGAAAGACCUGACAUUUCUGCCAGCUGGGUCUAAGCCUUCUCACUAUCUAUCUUUGCAGCUGCGUGUAGAUGCCAGACUGGAUAGGGAAGGAGAUUUGCUCAUUUUUAUGGUGCAUUGUUGUGUGUUUAUCAGCUGUAGCAAGAAAGAAGGAAAAUUAACUAGAACUGGGUGCUUUCAUUAACUCCAGGCAAAUCUUGGCAUCAUGUUGGUGGUGGCUUGUUUGUUUGUUUGUUUUUUUGUCCCCCCACCCCAUUGUUAAUUAAACCCUCGUGACUGUGUCCUUUGCCUUUGGGAAAACUUUGGAGACGUAGAUCUAAAUACGAGAGCUAAACCCUUCUUAAAAACUAAGUGAGAAUCACAGGGCCAUGGCUGGAGUGUUGUGUAUUUUGGAAAAGAGUUCUUAGCAGUUGAGUUGCUGCCUUCUACGAAAUCCUUCUGGAUUUGUCUGCACUGGCAGGCAGUCGGAAGCCCCCAGGAGUCUCUCCCUAGCUGUCUGCUCUUACCAUCCAUUGUACUGCACAUGGGUACCUGCAGUUGCCCUAGCAAGUCCCAUUUGGAACAUCUUCCUUGCCACCAAGAUGCCCAAAUGGGAUCUGUUGCCUGCUACCUUGAGUGGGUUGUCCUAGCUGACUUAACCAGCACUGCAGAUACUU
Molecule: non-coding RNA, 4715 nt
Organism: Anas platyrhynchos (mallard)
Lineage: Eukaryota; Metazoa; Chordata; Aves; Anseriformes; Anatidae
Source: RefSeq, a predicted model, not a curated record